RNAcentral lists this ribosomal RNA (253 nucleotides) under uncultured bacterium. RNAcentral describes it as "partial 16S ribosomal RNA". It matches the Rfam family "Bacterial small subunit ribosomal RNA", at positions 524 to 776 of the family's 1533-position model. The record is from RNAcentral.
CACGUAGGGCGCAAGCGUUGUCCGGAAUUAUUGGGCGUAAAGAGCUCGUAGGCGGUCUGUUGCGUCUGCUGUGAAAACUCGGGGCUUAACCCCGAGCCUGCAGUGGAUACGGGCAGACUAGAGGUAGGUAGGGGAGAAUGGAAUUCCCGGUGUAGCGGUGAAAUGCGCAGAUAUCAGGAAGAACACCCGUGGCGAAGGCGGUUCUCUGGGACGGUACUGACGCUGAGACGCGAAAGCGUGGGGAGCGAACAGG